UAGGGAAUCGUCCGCAAUGGACGCAAGUCUGACGGAGCAACGCCGCGUGAGUGAAGAAGGAUUUCGGUUCGUAAAACUCUGUUGUUAGAGAAGAACAGCGCAUAGAGUAACUGUUAUGCGUGUGACGGUAUCUAACCAGAAAGCCACGGCUAACUACGUGCCAGCAGCCGCGGUAAUACGUAGGUGGCAAGCGUUGUCCGGAUUUAUUGGGCGUAAAGCGAGCGCAGGCGGUCAAUUAAGUCUGAUGUGAAAGCCCCCGGCUCAACCGGGGAGGGUCAUUGGAAACUGGUUGACUUGAGUGCAGAAGAGGAGAGUGGAAUUACAUGUGUAGCGGUGAAAUGCGUAGAUAUAUGGAGGAACACCAGUGGCGAAGGCGACUCUCUGGUCUGUAACUGACGCUGAGGCUCGAAAGCGUGGGUAGCAAACAGG
Molecule: ribosomal RNA, 429 nt
Filed under: Bacteroidota bacterium
Lineage: Bacteria; Pseudomonadati; Bacteroidota
Description: Bacteroidetes bacterium partial 16S ribosomal RNA
Rfam family: Bacterial small subunit ribosomal RNA
Source: RNAcentral